CUGGUCUGAGAGGACGACCAGCCACACUGGAACUGAGACACGGUCCAGACUCCUACGGGAGGCAGCAGUGGGGAAUUUUGGACAAUGGGCGCAAGCCUGAUCCAGCAAUGCCGCGUGCAGGAUGAAGGCCUUCGGGUUGUAAACUGCUUUUGUACGGAACGAAACGGUGAGCUCUAAUACAGUUUGCUAAUGACGGUACCGUAAGAAUAAGCACCGGCUAACUACGUGCCAGCAGCCGCGGUAAUACGUAGGGUGCGAGCGUUAAUCGGAAUUACUGGGCGUAAAGCGUGCGCAGGCGGUUAUAUAAGACAGAUGUGAAAUCCCCGGGCUCAACCUGGGACCUGCAUUUGUGACUGUAUAGCUAGAGUACGGUAGAGGGGGAUGGAAUUCCGCGUGUAGCAGUGAAAUGCGUAGAUAUGCGGAGGAACACCGAUGGCGAAGGCAAUCCCCUGGACCUGUACUGACGCUCAUGCACGAAAGCGUGGGGAGCAAACAGGAUUAGAUACCCUGGUAGUCCACGCCCUAAACGAUGUCAACUGGUUGUUGGGUCUUCACUGACUCAGUAACGAAGCUAACGCGUGAAGUUGACCG
This 591-nucleotide ribosomal RNA is filed under the name uncultured bacterium. RNAcentral describes it as "bacterial SSU rRNA". It matches the Rfam family "Bacterial small subunit ribosomal RNA", at positions 287 to 871 of the family's 1533-position model. The record is from RNAcentral.